AAUACACUGACACAGAGAGGAAUGUGGAAAUUUUAAACCAUGUGCUGAACGACUUGGAGCUCUUCAUGGGGAAAGUAGCUGCUCCUAAUGAAGAGAAGAACAACAAGAAGAAAAAGAAGAAGAAAAGCUCAAAGCCAAAUGCUGACAACUUGCCACAUUGGGAGGAGUUUGUCGUCUGUCUUCAGAAAAUCAAGUAUGGAUUCAACCUGCUGGGAAAGCUGAAUGGAAGAUCAGAACCUAGCGCUGCU
This is a long non-coding RNA of Oncorhynchus masou masou (cherry salmon), 248 nucleotides long. RefSeq lists it as uncharacterized. NCBI's taxonomy places the organism in Eukaryota, Metazoa, Chordata, Actinopteri, Salmoniformes, Salmonidae. The transcript is spliced from 4 exons. The record is from RefSeq and is a predicted model, not a curated record.